Molecule: ribosomal RNA, 400 nt
Filed under: uncultured bacterium
Lineage: Bacteria
Description: bacterial SSU rRNA
Rfam family: Bacterial small subunit ribosomal RNA
Source: RNAcentral
GGGGAAUUUUGCGCAAUGGGGGCAACCCUGACGCAGCGACGCCGCGUGGGUGAGGAAGGCCUUCGGGUUGUAAAGCCCUGUCUAAGGGGAAGAUAGUGACGGUACCCUUAGAGGAAGCCCCGGCUAACUACGUGCCAGCAGCCGCGGUAACACGUAGGGGGCGAGCGUUGUCCGGAAUUACUGGGCGUAAAGGGCGUGUAGGCGGUCUGUCAAGUCAGCUGUGAAAAGCCCCGGCUCAACCGGGGUCUUGCAGUUGAAACUGGUGGGCUUGAGUGCAGGAGAGGGGGGUGGAAUUCCUGGUGUAGCGGUGAAAUGCGUAGAUAUCAGGAGGAACACCGGUGGCGAAGGCGACCUUCUGGCCUGUUACUGACGCUGAGGCGCGAAAGCCAGGGGAGCGAAC